This 1538-nucleotide ribosomal RNA is filed under the name Klebsiella quasipneumoniae. RNAcentral describes it as "bacterial SSU rRNA". It matches the Rfam family "Bacterial small subunit ribosomal RNA". The record is from RNAcentral. Lineage: Bacteria; Pseudomonadati; Pseudomonadota; Gammaproteobacteria; Enterobacterales; Enterobacteriaceae.
AAAUUGAAGAGUUUGAUCAUGGCUCAGAUUGAACGCUGGCGGCAGGCCUAACACAUGCAAGUCGAGCGGUAGCACAGAGAGCUUGCUCUCGGGUGACGAGCGGCGGACGGGUGAGUAAUGUCUGGGAAACUGCCUGAUGGAGGGGGAUAACUACUGGAAACGGUAGCUAAUACCGCAUAACGUCGCAAGACCAAAGUGGGGGACCUUCGGGCCUCAUGCCAUCAGAUGUGCCCAGAUGGGAUUAGCUAGUAGGUGGGGUAACGGCUCACCUAGGCGACGAUCCCUAGCUGGUCUGAGAGGAUGACCAGCCACACUGGAACUGAGACACGGUCCAGACUCCUACGGGAGGCAGCAGUGGGGAAUAUUGCACAAUGGGCGCAAGCCUGAUGCAGCCAUGCCGCGUGUAUGAAGAAGGCCUUCGGGUUGUAAAGUACUUUCAGCGGGGAGGAAGGCGUAAGGUUAAUAACCNNNNNNNNGACGUUACCCGCAGAAGAAGCACCGGCUAACUCCGUGCCAGCAGCCGCGGUAAUACGGAGGGUGCAAGCGUUAAUCGGAAUUACUGGGCGUAAAGCGCACGCAGGCGGUCUGUCAAGUCGGAUGUGAAAUCCCCGGGCUCAACCUGGGAACUGCAUUCGAAACUGGCAGGCUAGAGUCUUGUAGAGGGGGGUAGAAUUCCAGGUGUAGCGGUGAAAUGCGUAGAGAUCUGGAGGAAUACCGGUGGCGAAGGCGGCCCCCUGGACAAAGACUGACGCUCAGGUGCGAAAGCGUGGGGAGCAAACAGGAUUAGAUACCCUGGUAGUCCACGCCGUAAACGAUGUCGAUUUGGAGGUUGUGCCCUUGAGGCGUGGCUUCCGGAGCUAACGCGUUAAAUCGACCGCCUGGGGAGUACGGCCGCAAGGUUAAAACUCAAAUGAAUUGACGGGGGCCCGCACAAGCGGUGGAGCAUGUGGUUUAAUUCGAUGCAACGCGAAGAACCUUACCUGGUCUUGACAUCCACAGAACUUUCCAGAGAUGGAUUGGUGCCUUCGGGAACUGUGAGACAGGUGCUGCAUGGCUGUCGUCAGCUCGUGUUGUGAAAUGUUGGGUUAAGUCCCGCAACGAGCGCAACCCUUAUCCUUUGUUGCCAGCGGUCCGGCCGGGAACUCAAAGGAGACUGCCAGUGAUAAACUGGAGGAAGGUGGGGAUGACGUCAAGUCAUCAUGGCCCUUACGACCAGGGCUACACACGUGCUACAAUGGCAUAUACAAAGAGAAGCGACCUCGCGAGAGCAAGCGGACCUCAUAAAGUAUGUCGUAGUCCGGAUUGGAGUCUGCAACUCGACUCCAUGAAGUCGGAAUCGCUAGUAAUCGUAGAUCAGAAUGCUACGGUGAAUACGUUCCCGGGCCUUGUACACACCGCCCGUCACACCAUGGGAGUGGGUUGCAAAAGAAGUAGGUAGCUUAACCUUCGGGAGGGCGCUUACCACUUUGUGAUUCAUGACUGGGGUGAAGUCGUAACAAGGUAACCGUAGGGGAACCUGCGGUUGGAUCACCUCCUUA